UUUCCCUACAGGACGCAGCAGUGAGGAAUAUUGGUCAAUGGGCGCGAGCCUGAACCAGCCAAGUCGCGUGAGGGAAGACGGUCCUAUGGAUUGUAAACCUCUUUUGCCGGGGAGCAAAAAGCGGUACGUGUACCGCAUCGAGAGUACCCGGAGAAAAAGCAUCGGCUAACUCCGUGCCAGCAGCCGCGGUAAUACGGAGGAUGCGAGCGUUAUCCGGAUUUAUUGGGUUUAAAGGGUGCGCAGGCGGCGAGUUAAGUCAGCGGUAAAAUGUCGGGGCUCAACCCCGGCCGGCCGUUGAAACUGGU
This 305-nucleotide ribosomal RNA is filed under the name uncultured bacterium. RNAcentral's name for it is "bacterial SSU rRNA". It matches the Rfam family "Bacterial small subunit ribosomal RNA", at positions 334 to 637 of the family's 1533-position model. The record is from RNAcentral.